Molecule: ribosomal RNA, 476 nt
Filed under: Cupriavidus basilensis
Lineage: Bacteria; Pseudomonadati; Pseudomonadota; Betaproteobacteria; Burkholderiales; Burkholderiaceae
Description: bacterial SSU rRNA
Rfam family: Bacterial small subunit ribosomal RNA
Source: RNAcentral
AUUGAACGCUGGCGGCAUGCCUUACACAUGCAAGUCGAACGGCAGCACGGGAGCAAUCCUGGUGGCGAGUGGCGAACGGGUGAGUAAUACAUCGGAACGUGCCCUGUCGUGGGGGAUAACUAGUCGAAAGAUUAGCUAAUACCGCAUACGACCUGAGGGUGAAAGCGGGGGACCGUAAGGCCUCGCGCGAUAGGAGCGGCCGAUGUCUGAUUAGCUAGUUGGUGGGGUAAAGGCCCACCAAGGCGACGAUCAGUAGCUGGUCUGAGAGGACGAUCAGCCACACUGGGACUGAGACACGGCCCAGACUCCUACGGGAGGCAGCAGUGGGGAAUUUUGGACAAUGGGGGCAACCCUGAUCCAGCAAUGCCGCGUGUGUGAAGAAGGCCUUCGGGUUGUAAAGCACUUUUGUCCGGAAAGAAAUCCCUUGCCCUAAUACGGCGGGGGGAUGACGGUACCGGAAGAAUAAGCACCGGUAA